AACGAACGCUGGCGGCAUGCCUAACACAUGCAAGUCGAACGAGACCUUCGGGUCUAGUGGCGCACGGGUGCGUAACGCGUGGGAACCUGCCUUUAGGUUUGGGAUAACAGUGAGAAAUUGCUGCUAAUACCAAAUAAUGUCUUCGGACCAAAGAUUUAUCGCCUUUAGAUGGGCCCGCGUAGGAUUAGCUAGUUGGUGAGGUAAUGGCUCACCAAGGCGACGAUCCUUAGCUGGUCUUAGAGGAUGACCAGCCACACUGGGACUGAGACACGGCCCAGACUCCUACGGGAGGCAGCAGUGGGGAAUAUUGGACAAUGGGCGAAAGCCUGAUCCAGCAAUGCCGCGUGAGUGAUGAAGGCCUUAGGGUUGUAAAGCUCUUUUACCAGGGAUGAUAAUGACAGUACCUGGAGAAUAAGCUCCGGCUAACUCCGUG
Molecule: ribosomal RNA, 433 nt
Filed under: uncultured bacterium
Lineage: Bacteria
Description: bacterial SSU rRNA
Rfam family: Bacterial small subunit ribosomal RNA
Source: RNAcentral